This 905-nucleotide long non-coding RNA is filed under the name Lonchura striata (white-rumped munia). RNAcentral describes it as "domestica (Bengalese finch) lncRNA (ENSLSDG00000014152.1)". Lineage: Eukaryota; Metazoa; Chordata; Aves; Passeriformes; Estrildidae. The record is from RNAcentral.
AGUUACAUCUAUAAUGGAAAUGGUUGGGUCCUGGUGGCAGAAGGAGGCUCUCUAGCAGACCAUUAAGGACCCAGAAGUGGGAGUACCUGUGAUUGAGACACAAAGCUGGCUGUGACUUCUUGGUCUUUCUUGUGAAGCAUUAGGUGCUAAAUAAGCAGACCUUUAGUAGCCUUCUUAAGGACACAUCUUCCAUGUUUCCAUCUUUGAAGGGAAAUGAAGGACAAAUGAGGCUCAGGGAUGACACUUCCUUUGAAUGGGAUGAAUCACAGCAUGAGGGAUCUUCGGCUUGGGAGACAUCCUUACUCCCCUAUUGGAGAACCGGGCAUAAACAGGAAGAUCACAGUGGCACACCUCCAGCAAAUGUCCUCCAGAGGCAUUGUGCCCUGAUGGGAGGCGGCUGCAUGCAGAUGGUAGGGAGGUAUCUUAAGACAAUGCGGCACAGGGAUCCAUCCCCUGAGAACUGGAUGUGCAAGCAUGAAGUAGUGGAGUCCCUGCCUAUUACCUUGCUACGACAGGCAGGGAGACACACCUGAUGAAGAUACCUAUGGCAAUGAAAUGAAGUCGUAUUCUCAGACCUCAGUAAUGGCUGGUGACUUCCACAGCAGUUGCUGAUGCCAGAUCCCACCAGACACUCCUCAGCUUCCUUAAAAUCUCAUUCUCGCCGCCGUUUACAUGCCAUUUCCUCUUCAGUAUGAAUGCAGACCCACAGCAUCAUUCCAGACUGUGGGACCUAUCCUCGACGUUAAAAAUUGCUUAGUAAAACUGGGCAGCAGCAGCAGAAACCAAACACUCACGCUUUUUGUUACAAGUGUGAAACCUGCCACUACGCGGCUGAGAGAUGUCACCAUGCUAGCUGUGGGCGAUCCCCCUUCGCUCCUGAGCUCACUCCCGCACCGAACGCUGCG